AGAGAUGGCGAUGAUCCAGGGUUGGUUAAGUCAGCAACUCAAUAACCUCAUCAAAAUCCAGACAAGGCAGACUCCCUGUGGCUCAAAAGCUAAAAGCAGAACCAAGAGGCCAUAGCAGAGUGAGGGAGUGAUCAUGCACUCUGUAUCUGUCAAAACUAUUGUAAAACCAGUUUUUCUGCAAUCAAGUCAAAGAACAGUUCCUGAAAACAAUGUCAAAAACAACUACAGCUGGAAAUUCCCCAACUGACCACCAAUAGGUUACCUGGUGCCAGCCAAUUACCUGGAAUCAGCCAACUAAGAGAGACUGGUUAUUUGGGAGAUCAAAGGUUUUCCAAUCAAGACUGUGUUCCUCACUCCCUGACUCCUCUUCUGGCCUGCAAUCUUCAUCUUUAUGAUAUAUAACUCUCCAAUCCCCUCCUUAGAGUGCACUUUUGUUUUGCACUGAAGGCUGUCUCCUCAAUCUGCAGGUUGCUUUUAGAAAAUAAAGUUCUCCUUUUGCC
Molecule: long non-coding RNA, 500 nt
Filed under: Homo sapiens (human)
Lineage: Eukaryota; Metazoa; Chordata; Mammalia; Primates; Hominidae
Description: HSALNT0367975
Source: RNAcentral